UGAGAUUGGUGUGUUGCUUUUGUGUAAAAAGCUAAAUCCUCUCUCCCCUUCACAAACGUCCAACACCUCCUUCGCUUCAUUCUAUUUGUCUUCUUCCUCUUCUCUUCACACGACAGCGCCGACAACGGGAGUCGAAGACAAACGACGGCGAUGAGAACACCAACGACCGUCAACCUGUACCUCCAAAAUCCUCUUCCCGUCCUCUUUCCGACUCCCAAGUUAGUUUCAUCAAAUUCGAAGCCGAAUUUUUUCAAUUUCAGAUCUAAGAAACGGUAACCGCAUGUUUUCCAGCCAAUUUGCGGCCAAGCUUGCCGGCAUUGGACCUCGACCAAGAAGUAAAGAUGAUCCUCUCCUCGUGGGCUGUCCUCCAGUUUUUGUCUGUUGGCAGGUUCUUUGAUAGAAUUGGUGUAUUUCUCAACGAACAGUGACGAUUCGUCUUCUUUGAAUGAGAGUUUAGCAGCUUCUAAUGGCGAUAGAGGGCGUCCUGUUCUUGAAGGGAAGCUCCAUUUUGCAAAGUUUGAAACUCAGAAAAUCAAUGACUGUAUAGACUUCAUUCGAUCCAAGCAACUUCGCCUUACUGAUGAUUUCAGGCUCCCAACAACACGGAGCUUCUGGGAGCGCCAAGUGCGUUAUUAAGGCCACAGGUGGUGGGGCAUUAAGUACGCAGAUCUUUUUAAAGAAAAGCUUGGGAUUUCUCUUGACAAGGCAGAUGAAAUGGACUGUUUUGUGGCCGGAGCAAAUUUUCUGCUUAAGGUGGGAUCCUAAAACCACUUACAUUCAGUCUAAUCCUGUUAUCUUCAGUACUUACUGUAAGCAUUUGGGUCUACUUACUAGUUGUACAGCUAAUUGUGUAUGAAGUGUCUUUAUAUAUAUGUUUUACAUUCAGUCUAAUCCUACAAGUGUUAAAUGUAUAACAUUCAGUACUUACUGUAAGCAUUUGUCCGAUGCCUUAGCAAUUGUUGUUACUGCACUUUAAUUCUUGUGCACUAAUGAUCUAGCAUAUGCUUUGCAUACUUCACUUGUAGUUUUCUUUUACUGUUAUAUUCUGCAAUAUCAAUUCAUGGUCUAGGGCGAAACAGAGAGGAAAGAUUUUCAAAAAGCAAAUUUUGUAUUGAAAGGAGAGGAUUAAGAAGUCCAAGUAAAAAAGAGGCGUGGUUUUGCAGUCUAUGAUUGCGACGGUGACAAUCAAUGCUUUUUGAGGGGUUAGGUUUGUUCGUUUUGGCGUCAUCGUCCCCAUCUGAGCAAAUCUAUGCUCAGAAAUCAGAGAUGAGAGCCCCAAGACCGUUGCCUACACCGCCAUCUCUGAAAAGCUGAGCCCAGAUCUCGCGAGAGAUUCAAGCUCCACACAAGCGGAUCCAAAGGCCAAACCUCCAAUCUCGGAGUUGACACACCCAGAGCUCGGUGGAGGUUAUCUUUUUGGGCUACCUGUUGGUUAUGUUGCUGAUUCAAUUGGAGCCACUUUAGGUGCAGGGGCUGCUUUCCUUCUGGGAAGAGCUGUAUGUUUCUAUCCUAAACUCUUGUAUUGGAAUUUCCUGGUUUUUUGAGUUUUUGAAAAAAGAGAAAAUAUUAAUGCAUUUAUAUGUGUGAUUAUGCGCGCGCUCUUCACUGAUAUUCCGUUCUCAUUUAUGUUCUCCCUCAUUCGUAUGUAAAUGCUUUGUUUGUAUCUUGUCUUCUGCCCAUUGGUCAUAAAUAUAUUAUCUAUGCUUUCUUUAUCUUAUUCUUGAAUACCCACGCAAAUUGGGAGAUCAUUUGUUGUUUCAAGGUUGAAGGUGGUCUGCAUAUUCAUGAACUUGUCAAUUUAAUAUGUUCUUAGUUGAAGUUGCAGAAGGGUUGCAGUGAAUUUGUGGAGAUUUUUGUAUGGUAAAUUAUGACUGCAAACCCCUUGAAAAUCUACUUUUCCUAGGCUGCAGCUGAUGAUCAGAUUCAAGUUAUUGAGAUGAUUAAGCUCUUGGAAACAAAGGGUUCGAAGACUUUUUAAAGUUUGGUUCCAACAUUUGUACAAAAUUCUAUAAAAUAUCAGUUAUGCAAAUUUAUAGUUGUAUUCUUAUAUUUUAAUGAUAUAACAAUUUGUUUUCUCACCAAAAAUAGAAAAACAAAUAUGAUACUCCAAUUUGGGUGCUCACACAGGGCAUCCUUUUUUCUAAUAUUAUUUUGCAACUU
Molecule: non-coding RNA, 2160 nt
Organism: Malus domestica (apple)
Lineage: Eukaryota; Viridiplantae; Streptophyta; Magnoliopsida; Rosales; Rosaceae
Source: RefSeq, a predicted model, not a curated record